Molecule: ribosomal RNA, 253 nt
Filed under: uncultured bacterium
Lineage: Bacteria
Description: partial 16S ribosomal RNA
Rfam family: Bacterial small subunit ribosomal RNA
Source: RNAcentral
UACGUAGGGUGCAAGCGUUGUCCGGAAUUAUUGGGCGUAAAGAGCUCGUAGGCGGCUUGUCGCGUCGGCUGUGAAAACCCGGGGCUCAACCCCGGGCCUGCAGUCGAUACGGGCAGACUAGAGUGCGGUAGGGGAGACUGGAAUUCCUGGUGUAGCGGUGAAAUGCGCAGAUAUCAGGAGGAACACCGGUGGCGAAGGCGGGUCUCUGGGCCGUAACUGACGCUGAGGAGCGAAAGCGUGGGGAGCGAACAGG